CAGGCCCUACGGGGCGCACCAGGCGCGAAACCUCCGCAAUGCGGGAAACCGUGACGGGGUCACCCCGAGUGCCCCCGAAAGGGGGCUUUUCCCCGCUGCAAGGAGGCGGGGGAAUAAGCGGGGGCAAGUCUGGUGUCAGCAGCCGCGGUAA
Molecule: ribosomal RNA, 151 nt
Filed under: uncultured archaeon
Lineage: Archaea
Description: partial 16S ribosomal RNA
Rfam family: Archaeal small subunit ribosomal RNA
Source: RNAcentral